This 301-nucleotide ribosomal RNA is filed under the name uncultured bacterium. RNAcentral describes it as "partial 16S ribosomal RNA". It matches the Rfam family "Bacterial small subunit ribosomal RNA", at positions 509 to 807 of the family's 1533-position model. The record is from RNAcentral.
CAGUAGCCACGGUAAUACGUAGGGUGCGAGCGUUAAUCGGAAUUACUGGGCGUAAAGCGUGCGCAGGCGGUUCGUUAAGACAGAUGUGAAAUCCCCGGGCUUAACCUGGGAACUGCAUUUGUGACUGUAUAGCUAGAGUACGGUAGAGGGGGAUGGAAUUCCGCGUGUAGCAGUGAAAUGCGUAGAUAUGCGGAGGAACACCGAUGGCGAAGGCAAUCCCCUGGACCUGUACUGACGCUCAUGCACGAAAGCGUGGGGAGCAAACAGGAUUAGAUACCCCCGUAGUCCCUGUCUCUUAUAC